AUUGAACGCUGGCGGCAGGCCUAACACAUGCAAGUCGAGCGGAUGAAGGGAGCUUGCUCCUGGAUUCAGCGGCGGACGGGUGAGUAAUGCCUAGGAAUCUGCCUGGUAGUGGGGGAUAACGUCCGGAAACGGGCGCUAAUACCGCAUACGUCCUGAGGGAGAAAGUGGGGGAUCUUCGGACCUCACGCUAUCAGAUGAGCCUAGGUCGGAUUAGCUAGUUGGUGGGGUAAAGGCCUACCAAGGCGACGAUCCGUAACUGGUCUGAGAGGAUGAUCAGUCACACUGGAACUGAGACACGGUCCAGACUCCUACGGGAGGCAGCAGGGGGGAAUAUUGGACAAUGGGCGAAAGCCUGAUCCAGCCAUGCCGCGUGUGUGAAGAAGGGCUUCGGAUUGUAAAGCACUUUAAGUUGGGAGGAAGGGCAGUAAGUUAAUACCUUGCUGUUUUGACGUUACCAACAGAAUAAGCACCGGCUAACUUCGUGC
Molecule: ribosomal RNA, 485 nt
Filed under: uncultured bacterium
Lineage: Bacteria
Description: partial 16S ribosomal RNA
Rfam family: Bacterial small subunit ribosomal RNA
Source: RNAcentral